This 76-nucleotide transfer RNA is filed under the name Chlorobium phaeovibrioides. RNAcentral's name for it is "tRNA-Phe". It matches the Rfam family "tRNA". From Rfam's summary of the family: Transfer RNA (tRNA) molecules are approximately 80 nucleotides in length. Lineage: Bacteria; Pseudomonadati; Chlorobiota; Chlorobiia; Chlorobiales; Chlorobiaceae. The record is from RNAcentral.
GGACAGAUAGCUCAGUUGGUAGAGCAAUGGACUGAAAAUCCAUGUGUCGUGGGUUCGAUUCCCUCUCUGUCCACCC